RNAcentral lists this ribosomal RNA (468 nucleotides) under uncultured bacterium. RNAcentral describes it as "partial 16S ribosomal RNA". It matches the Rfam family "Bacterial small subunit ribosomal RNA", at positions 28 to 507 of the family's 1533-position model. The record is from RNAcentral.
GACGAACGCUGGCGGCGUGCUUAACACAUGCAAGUCGAACGGAAGGGCCCUGCUUUUGUGGGGUGCUCGAGUGGCGAACGGGUGAGUAACACGUGAGUAACCUGCCCUUGACUUUGGGAUAACUUCAGGAAACUGGGGCUAAUACCGGAUAGGAGCUCCUGCUGCAUGGUGGGGGUUGGAAAGUUUCGGCGGUUGGGGAUGGACUCGCGGCUUAUCAGCUUGUUGGCGGGGUAGUGGCUUACCAAGGCUUUGACGGGUAGCCGGCCUGAGAGGGUGACCGGCCACAUUGGGACUGAGAUACGGCCCAGACUCCUACGGGAGGCAGCAGUGGGGAAUAUUGCACAAUGGGCGGAAGCCUGAUGCAGCAACGCCGCGUGCGGGAUGACGGCCUUCGGGUUGUAAACCGCUUUCGCCUGUGACGAAGCGUGAGUGACGGUAAUGGGUAAAGAAGCACCGGCUAACUACGUG